RNAcentral lists this ribosomal RNA (372 nucleotides) under uncultured organism. RNAcentral describes it as "partial 16S ribosomal RNA". It matches the Rfam family "Bacterial small subunit ribosomal RNA", at positions 527 to 896 of the family's 1533-position model. The record is from RNAcentral.
GUAAGUGGCAAGCGUUGUCCGGAAUUAUUGGGCGUAAAGCGCGCGCAGGCGGUUCUUUAAGUCUGAUGUGAAAGCCCACGGGCUCAACCGUGGAGGGUCAUUGGAAACUGGAGAACUUGAGUACAGAAGAGGAAAGCGGAAUUCCACGUGUAGCGGUGAAAUGCGUAGAGAUGUGGAGGAACACCAGUGGCGAAGGCGGCUUUCUGGUCUGUAACUGACGCUGAGGCGCGAAAGCGUGGGGAGCAAACAGGAUUAGAUACCCUGGUAGUCCACGCCGUAAACGAUGAGUGCUAAGUGUUAGGGGGUUUCCGCCACUUAGUGCUGCAGCUAACGCAUUAAGCACUCCGCCUGGGGAGUACGGCCGCAAGGCUG